This 74-nucleotide unclassified non-coding RNA is filed under the name Staphylococcus argenteus. The record is from RNAcentral. Lineage: Bacteria; Bacillati; Bacillota; Bacilli; Caryophanales; Staphylococcaceae.
AUAGAGGUUGGGAGUGGGGACAGAAAUGAAAUUUACACAAAAUUUAUUUCUGUUCCCACUCCCAUCAAUUCUAU